Molecule: RNA transcript, 2852 nt
Organism: Hevea brasiliensis (rubber tree)
Lineage: Eukaryota; Viridiplantae; Streptophyta; Magnoliopsida; Malpighiales; Euphorbiaceae
Exons: 3
Source: RefSeq, a predicted model, not a curated record
GGUUUAUCUUUAGGUUGUAGUUUUAUUUAUCAAUGAUGUUGUCUCAUAGAACUCUACAGUAACUAUAUAUAUUUUUUUUUCAUUUUGGAUCUAUAAAUUAAUUGUAUGAAUGACUGCUUAAGAUUCAAGCUAUGCUCUCAAAGUAUCAUGGAUAUGUUUGCACUUAAAGUUGGAUGUGUUGCACUUAAAGGUUGGAGUCGGAUUCUCUCGUUUGCACAUUAUUACUGCACGUUGGGCUUCAUUAUAGGCUGGUGUCGUCUUGGCGACAACCGUUAAUCAUUUAUGAUGCGGAGUUUAACCAGGUUGAUUUUAAUCCAAGCGCAACCCGAAUAGUUGCCUUGAGUUGGUUGGCCCUUCGCCGUGAGUGGGUCAGUUCAGGUGUCACAGUGUCUACUACGAGCUUGACGGGGUGCCCAUCACAAUUAGCCAUUGUUGAAGGAGCAACUUGGAAGACCUGAGUGAGCCAAAAAGGAGUCAGCUAGAGUCGAUUAACGAAGAGGAAAAUGAGGAUUUAGUUGAUGGGUCAGAUACUUCUUCCUUUACUGCAUUCCUUUAUUCUUUAUUGUCAUCUUCAGAUUCUGGAGAUAAUUCAAAUUCAGAUGAGAAAAAGGAUAAUACACCAGAAAUGGUUGGCCAGUCAUCUGAAAUUGUAAGGAAGGAGAGUGUCACAAGGAAGGGCUUACUUUCUAGGGGUAAACAAUCUCUUAGAGCUAUUUACCAAGCUGGUAUAACUGGUGGAUAUCAAAGUCAAGGGUGCAAGGGUGAAUCUGACUUGAAAUUAGGUGAUGAGAGUAAUGAUAAUUUUGAUGGACUGGAAAUAAAACAUACGCAGAUUUUGAAAGAGCCCGUUGAGUUGGGAGAUCUUCCAAGUGUUUCUGAGCCUUCAUUGCUUCUUUCAGAGAGAGCAAGAAGUGCCCUUUAUGCUUCACGUCCAGCACUUGCACAAGGGAGGAAUUGGUAAUUGCUUUACAAGUUUAAAAACGUUUACUUUUAAAUUGAAAAUGAAUCUCAGCUUUUUAAAUGCAAACAGCUUGCUCCUAAUAGUUACUAAUAUGGUAGUCUUUAUGAAUCUCUUUCACUCUGUGUGUGUGUGUGCGCUCGUGUGUGUUCUUUGCAGUACGUGGAGGCAUGGGAUAUCACUAUCAACAUUAUAUAGAAGAAGCAUGCUUGCCCUGGACCAAGUCUGCUGGUAAUUUUUUUAAUUACCUUUUUGUCUUACAACAACAACUAAGCCUUAAUCCCAAAUUAGUUGGGGCCAGCUAUACUAUUUGCAUGUUAUCUGAGGAACAUCUUGUCAUACAGUUACUCUGCAAUAAUUUAUGAUUGGUCUUUGAUUCCCAAGGUAAUUCCGCCCCGCAGGUAUUUCAUCUCUAUGCCCCUAGGCAACAAAUUUGAUUUCUGAUUUGUGAUGGAAAAUUAUUGAUUUUGAUCUUGUCCAUGUAUUAAAAUGUUAUUCCUUACAUUGAAAGAUCCGUCAUAGGAGCCAUUGAUGUGUUGUCAUGCAAGUAUAUUCCAUUGGCAAAUGGAUUAAAAUCGGUGUUCCCUGCUGAUAUUGUUCUUACUUCUUUGUGAAUGAAAAGGAAAUUGAUUGGCUAAAAUGCCUUUGUGGUAGCAUUUUUUGAAGGACCAAAAAUGUAUUUUACAUUCAUGGUUUUUUUUUCGAUGAUGUAAAUACUGCACACAGCUGCAAGCACAUAGUAUACUUCCAGCCCUGUAUCUUUAAGAUCCCAAUGGCUGCAACAUGAAGGACAUAGGAUAUUCAGUUGCAACAUGAAAUGAUGCUAAUCCUUCUAUAGAAGGACAGUAUAAAUUAUUGUCCUAGAUGCUAGAUCUUCUAUUGUCCAAAAUAUUUUUCCUCAGUACUUCUCUUUUUAGUGCUUGGAAAUGCUUGAAUAUAAGUCAUGUCUGAACAUCACAUUUAGAUCAAGUUCAAUUCAAUUCAUGACAUAGAUUGGUUUGAAGAUACCAGUUCAAGCAUCUAAUCAGUGCAUGAUGUUAACUGAUAAUUCAAUAAGACAUUUAUGGAUAUCUAAAAUAUGUGGAAACUUAAUUGAAGAACAGAAACAGUAAAAAGUGUGGUACAUACAAACACAAGGGGCCUGCCCCAGGUUUUUCCCCGAAAGGGUGCUGAGUACGAGUUGAAGGGUUGAACAUGUCGUUUAGAAUCUUUCAUUUUUGCUGUUCACUAAUGGCAGUGUUGAAAGAGGUGCAAAUCGCCAUUUCACUUUGUGCUCUACUGAUUUUCUGGCAAUGGGUGGGGGUGGCCCCUUUGCACUCUACUUGGAUGGAGAUCUGUGAGCCCAUACUUCUCUAUUAUUGUUAUGCACUUGUUCUGCAACCAUUUGAGUGAUUUGACUUGGCGGAUUCACUUCUAGACAUCCACAACUGUACUGGUUAUUGAUAAUUGUUUAUUCCAUCAUAGAUUAAAUGGAUCAAGCUCAGUCUCAGAGACCUAUGGGAACCCUUGUCUUGCACAUUCUGCAGACUUUGAAGUUAAAGAAGUUGAGUAAUGAGGAAAUAGUUGCUUUAAGCAGAACAGAGGCUCGUGGGAUACGCCGGUGGUAAAUAUUCAAGCAUAUGGCUGAUUUUAUGAUUGUCAAUGUGGACCAGCUGGUUUAACGUAGACCCAUUUGUUAAAAGGCAUCUUUCAUUCACGUUUACUCAUACAUAGAGCCUGUGUAGCAGUAGACACAGUCCAGUAGUAGCUCUAUAUAUAUAUUAGACCUGGGAGAUCCGGUUCAACUCUUCCCUCCCCCUACAUGUAUAAUAUUAAAAAAUGUACAUAGAGCCUGUAUUUGUAUACAUGAUAAAGCGUUGAAAGUAUUGGAAGUAACUUCGAUGUUGACGGUGAA